UCUCUUAUUCUCUCUCAUUCUCUCUCUCUCUCUCUCUCUCUCUAAGAUCCUUCGCCAUUCGUCGUCCGUUUCCAAAAACGGAGGGUAGUGCGUGAAUCAGAAGAGGAAACUCUACACUUUUAGUGGAUCGGAUCGUCGUUUCGGAGAGUUUCGGGUUUUUCCAAGAAUCGAGGUUUUUGGGAUCUCAGGUUGUCGAUUUGGACCGUUUUCAUACGAACUUUCAUUUCGAGUAUAAGGGUGAAAUGAAACCACUGUUAUAUGAUACGGCACGAUAUCGUAGUUAGAUGUACACGUUCAACCACACGUAUUAAACGAUGUGGGUACCAAGAUGGUCGGCUAGCAGGAUGAAACCAUUGGCUGAUAUUGGGCCAAUGGGAGCAGUCGGAUCGUAUGUAGGUACUUGACAGUGUCUGCACGAACAAGGCAUUGGACGAGUACUAGUGCACAACCCGAGCCACGGGGUAAAACUGGUUAUAGGGAUAUUUUGUUGUUGGUCAUCUGAUAAAUCAUUAAAUGGUCGAAAGACAGAUGUGAGAAUUUUGUAAUAUGAAUAAUGAUAUACCUGAUGCAUUACUAUAUUGAAAAUAUGUGAUUUAUAU
Molecule: long non-coding RNA, 599 nt
Organism: Malania oleifera
Lineage: Eukaryota; Viridiplantae; Streptophyta; Magnoliopsida; Santalales; Ximeniaceae
Exons: 3
Source: RefSeq, a predicted model, not a curated record